Molecule: ribosomal RNA, 318 nt
Filed under: uncultured bacterium
Lineage: Bacteria
Description: bacterial SSU rRNA
Rfam family: Bacterial small subunit ribosomal RNA
Source: RNAcentral
AUUGAACGCUGGCGGCAUGCUUACACAUGCAAGUCGAACGGUAACAGGUUAAGCUGACGAGUGGCGAACGGGUGAGUAAUGCAUCGGAACGUGCCCGGUCGUGGGGAUAACGCAGCGAAAGCUGCGCUAAUACCGCAUACGAUCUGAGGAUGAAAGCGGGGGACCGUAAGGCCUCGCGCGAAUCGGAGCGGCCGAUGUCAGAUUAGGUAGUUGGUGGGGGUAAAAGGCUCACCAAGCCGACGAUCUGUAGCUGGUCUGAGAGGACGACCAGCCACACUGGGACUGAGACACGGCCCAGACUCCUACGGGAGGCAGCAG